Molecule: ribosomal RNA, 409 nt
Filed under: uncultured Methylomirabilota bacterium
Lineage: Bacteria; Methylomirabilota (SeqCode)
Description: bacterial SSU rRNA
Rfam family: Bacterial small subunit ribosomal RNA
Source: RNAcentral
GCGUGGAGACAGGUGGUGCAUGGCUGUCGUCAGCUCGUGUCGUGAGAUGUUGGGUUAAGUCCCGCAACGAGCGCAACCCUCACCCCUGGUUGCCACCGGGUAAUGCCGAGCACUCGAGGGGAACUGCCAGCGUCAAGCUGGAGGAAGGCGGGGAUGACGUCAAGUCAUCAUGCCCCUUACGCCCCGGGCUACACACGUGCUACAAUGGCCGGUACAAAGGGACGCAAGACCGCGAGGUGGAGCUAAUCCCAAAAAGCCGGUCUAAGUUCAGAUUGCAGUCUGCAACUCGACUGCAUGAAGGAGGAAUCGCUAGUAAUCGCGCAUCAGCCCGGCGCGGUGAAUACGUUCCCGGGCCUUGUACACACCGCCCGUCACACCACGAAAGCUGUCUGUACUCGAAGUCGCUGAG